Long non-coding RNA from Chinchilla lanigera (long-tailed chinchilla), 616 nucleotides. NCBI's taxonomy places the organism in Eukaryota, Metazoa, Chordata, Mammalia, Rodentia, Chinchillidae. The record is from Ensembl.
GGUACACUGAAGCAGGUGGAGCUCUGUAACAUCAAUUUGUCCUUCACCUUCAACUGAACAUAAUAGUUGGUGUCACCAUGUGUGCCUCUAAGAAGAUCUCUGUGGAGGGCUCUGUGUUGCUUGAUCUGGAUAAAAGCUCUGUCAUAGCUCCAUGGCUAUACACCUGGGCACAGAGCUAGAAGAAGUUGCAAAAGUACUACUGCAUCUCAGCAACUUGGGAUGAGAAGUGCAAGGCACACCACCCAUUGUGGGCAUGGUGAUGAUUCACAGUGGCUCAGGGCUUUCUUGUCCAGGUGAUGCAUACCUACCAAGUUCAGCUCCCAUCACCCUGUCUUCUGCCUGCAUUGUUGAACUUUGCAAGUCCCUUGUGACCACAGUAGAAUGGCUCUGGCUGCCACUGUCAAGAUUGGAUGCUUGCACAAUAGGUUGUGCUUCCCCAGCUACUCUUAUUCUCUUUCAGGGACACGAGGCCAAGUCUCUUGCAUAUGGUGUGACAUCAGACUCUGCUUCUGCCUGCCUUGCCCAGUUUUUUGAGAUGUUCGGGACGUUAUUGCUAGCUCCCACUCUCCUAGCAGCAGUCGGGAUUGGAAAUUCAAGUCCUCACGUCAAAGUGUGA